UACGUAGGGUGCAAGCGUUGUCCGGAAUUAUUGGGCGUAAAGGGCUCGUAGGCGGUUUGUCGCGUCGGUUGUGAAAACUCAGGGCUUAACCCUGGGCUUGCAGUGGGUACGGGCAGACUAGAGUGCGGUAGGGGAGACUGGAAUUCCUGGUGUAGCGGUGAAAUGCGCAGAUAUCAGGAGGAACACCGGUGGCGAAGGCGGGUCUCUGGGCCGUAACUGACGCUGAGGAGCGAAAGCGUGGGGAGCGAACAGG
RNAcentral lists this ribosomal RNA (253 nucleotides) under uncultured bacterium. Its description in RNAcentral is "partial 16S ribosomal RNA". It matches the Rfam family "Bacterial small subunit ribosomal RNA", at positions 524 to 776 of the family's 1533-position model. The record is from RNAcentral.